Molecule: long non-coding RNA, 230 nt
Filed under: Elaeis guineensis (African oil palm)
Lineage: Eukaryota; Viridiplantae; Streptophyta; Magnoliopsida; Arecales; Arecaceae
Description: long non-coding RNA (EGUI_LNC075096)
Source: RNAcentral
GAGUGAUAAUAAUUGAAUAACUCUUUGCUUGUUUUUGUUCGAUGAUCCCUUUCUCGAUAGUCUUGAAAAUGAUAAUGUUCAUCUCGAUAAGAUGUAAGAUAGCCAUGCAUGUUUGUGAAGUCAGAAUCAACUACAUAGUACUUGCCCUCUAAUGGAUUAGGGAAUCUAUAUUCAGGAUUUAUGACUACUGAUACAAAAAGCUGAGAGUCAUUCGCAGUAUCUUCCCAACC